Balaenoptera musculus (blue whale) is the source of this 204-nucleotide small nucleolar RNA. Its record names the gene SNORA73. It matches the Rfam family "Small nucleolar RNA SNORA73 family". Rfam says of the family: U17 (SNORA73A and SNORA73B) also known as E1 belongs to the H/ACA class of small nucleolar RNAs (snoRNAs). NCBI's taxonomy places the organism in Eukaryota, Metazoa, Chordata, Mammalia, Artiodactyla, Balaenopteridae. The record is from Ensembl.
CCAACGUGGAUACCCCGGGCGGUCACUCUCCCCGGGCUCUGUCCUGGUGGCGUAGGGGAGCAUAGGGCUCUGCCCCAUGAUGUACAGUCCCUUUCCACAACGUUGGAGAUGAAGCCGGGCCUCGAGUCCGCGCCUGCAUAUUCCUACAGCUUCUCAGAGUCCUGUGGACAAUGACUGAGGAGACAAACCAUGCAGGAAACAACU